AGGACAGGACAGGAGAGGAGGGGUGUCUAGACAGGACAGGACAGGAGAGGAGAGGAGGGCUGUCUAGUAAGGACAGGACAGGAGAGGAGAGGAGAGCUGUCUAGUAAGGACAGGAGAGGAGAGGAGAGCUGUCUAGUAAGGACAGGAGAGGAGAGGAGAGGAGAGGAGAGCUGUCUAGUAAGGACAGGAGAGGAGAGGAGGGCUGUCUAGUAAGGACAGGAGAGGAGAGGAGGGCUGUCUAGUAAGGACAGGACAGGAGAGGAGGGCUGUCUAGUAAGGACAGGAGAGGAGAGGAGGGCUGUCUAGUAAGGACAGGAGAGGAGAGGAGGGCUGUCUAGUAAGGACAGGAGAGGAGAGGAGGGGUGUCUAGUAAGGACAGGACAGGAGAGGAGGGCUGUCUAGUAAGGACAGGAGAGGAGAGGAGAGGAGAGCUGUCUAGUAAGGACAGGAGAGGAGGGGUGUCUAGUAAGGACAGGAGAGGAGAGGAGGGCUGUCUAGUAAGGACAGGAGAGGAGGGCUGUCUAGUAAGGACAGGAGAGGAGAGGAGGGCUGUCUAGUAAGGACAGGACAGGAGAGGAGGGGUGUCUAGUAAGGACAGGAGAGGAGAGGAGGGGUGUCUAGUAAGGACAGGACAGGAGAGGAGGGGUGUCUAGUAAGGACAGGAGAGGAGAGGAGGGCUGUCUAGUAAGGACAGGAGAGGAGAGGAGAGCUGUCUAGUAAGGACAGGAGAGGAGAGGAGGGCUGUCUAGUAAGGACAGGACAGGAGAGGAGGGGUGUCUAGUAAGGACAGGAGAGGAGAGGAGGGCUGUCUAGUAAGGACAGGAGAGGAGGGGAGGGCUGUCUAGUAAGGACAGGAGAGGAGAGGAGGGCUGUCUAGUAAGGACAGGAGAGGAGAGGAGGGCUGUCUAGUAAGGACAGGAGAGGAGAGGAGGGCUGUCUAGUAAGGACAGGACAGGAGAGGAGGGCUGUCUAGUAAGGACAGGAGAGGAGGGGUGUCUAGUAAGGACAGGAGAGGAGAGGAGGGCUGUCUAGUAAGGACAGGAGAGGAGGGCUGUCUAGUAAGGACAGGAGAGGAGAGG
RNAcentral lists this long non-coding RNA (1079 nucleotides) under Salmo salar (Atlantic salmon). RNAcentral's name for it is "lncRNA (ENSSSAG00000094547.1)". The record is from RNAcentral. Lineage: Eukaryota; Metazoa; Chordata; Actinopteri; Salmoniformes; Salmonidae.